This 487-nucleotide ribosomal RNA is filed under the name uncultured bacterium. Its description in RNAcentral is "bacterial SSU rRNA". It matches the Rfam family "Bacterial small subunit ribosomal RNA", at positions 31 to 507 of the family's 1533-position model. The record is from RNAcentral.
GAACGCUAGCUACAGGCUUAACACAUGCAAGUCGCGGGGCAGCAUGAAUUUAGCUUGCUAAAUUUGAUGGCGACCGGCGCACGGGUGAGUAACGCGUAUCCAACCUUCCCCUGUCCACGGGAUAGCCCGUCGAAAGGCGGAUUAAUACCGUAUGAGGUCAUACGAUGGCAUCAGAAUAUGACGAAAGGUUUAGCGGUGAAGGAUGGGGAUGCGUCUGAUUAGCUUGUUGGUGAGGUAACGGCUCACCAAGGCGACGAUCAGUAGGGGUUCUGAGAGGAAGGUCCCCCACAUUGGAACUGAGACACGGUCCAAACUCCUACGGGAGGCAGCAGUGAGGAAUAUUGGUCAAUGGGCGAGAGCCUGAACCAGCCAAGUAGCGUGCAGGAUGACGGCCCUAUGGGUUGUAAACUGCUUUUAUAUGGGGAUAAAGUGAGUUACGUGUAGCUUAUUGCAGGUACCAUAUGAAUAAGGACCGGCUAAUUCCGUG